UUACUCUGGUUUCUCUUAAGAUCGUAUAAAUCUUUGGCAUUUUACUAAAGAUUGCUGUGGAGAGGAACAGGCAAGAGUGUUGAAAAUUUUUUUGAGGCUUCACUUCAGUGAAAAA
This is a small nuclear RNA of Rhea pennata, 115 nucleotides long. RefSeq annotates it as U5 spliceosomal RNA. Lineage: Eukaryota; Metazoa; Chordata; Aves; Rheiformes; Rheidae. The record is from RefSeq and is a predicted model, not a curated record. The transcript has a single exon.